CCUACGGGAGGCAGCAGUGAGGAAUAUUGGGCAAUGGAGGCAACUCUGACCCAGCCAUGCCGCGUGCAGGAAGACGGCCCUAUGGGUUGUAAACUGCUUUUAUACAGGAAGAAACUCUGCUACGUGUAGCAGCUUGACGGUACUGUAAGAAUAAGGACCGGCUAACUCCGUGCCAGCAGCCGCGGUAAUACGGAGGGUCCGAGCGUUAUCCGGAAUCAUUGGGUUUAAAGGGUCCGCAGGCGGUCAAUUAAGUCAGAGGUGAAAUCCCAUAGCUCAACUAUGGAACUGCCUUUGAUACUGGUUGACUUGAGUCAUAUGGAAGUAGAUAGAAUGUGUAGUGUAGCGGUGAAAUGCAUAGAUAUUACACAGAAUACCGAUUGCGAAGGCAGACUACUACGUAUGUACUGACGCUGAGGGACGAAAGCGUGGGGAGCGAACAGGAUUAGAUACCCUGGUAG
This 458-nucleotide ribosomal RNA is filed under the name uncultured bacterium. RNAcentral describes it as "bacterial SSU rRNA". It matches the Rfam family "Bacterial small subunit ribosomal RNA", at positions 338 to 793 of the family's 1533-position model. The record is from RNAcentral.